This 468-nucleotide ribosomal RNA is filed under the name uncultured bacterium. RNAcentral's name for it is "partial 16S ribosomal RNA". It matches the Rfam family "Bacterial small subunit ribosomal RNA", at positions 28 to 507 of the family's 1533-position model. The record is from RNAcentral.
GACGAACGCUGGCGGCGUGCUUAACACAUGCAAGUCGAACGGAAAGGCCCUGCUUUUGUGGGGUGCUCGAGUGGCGAACGGGUGAGUAACACGUGAGUAACCUGCCCUUGACUUUGGGAUAACUUCAGGAAACUGGGGCUAAUACCGGAUAGGAGCUCCUGCUGCAUGGUGGGGGUUGGAAAGUUUCGGCGGUUGGGGAUGGACUCGCGGCUUAUCCGCUUGUUGGUGGGGUAGUGGCUUACCAAGGUUGUGACGGGUAGCCGGCCUGAGAGGCUGACCGGCCACAUUGGGACUGAGAUACGGCCCAGACUCCUACGGGAGGCAGUAGUGGGGAAUAUUGCACAAUGGGCGGAAGCCUGAUGCAGCAACGCCGCGUGCGGGAUGACGGCCUUCGGGUUGUAAACCGCUUUCGCCUGUGACGAAGCGUGAGUGACGGUAAUGGGUAAAGAAGCACCGGCUAACUACGUG